Molecule: ribosomal RNA, 440 nt
Filed under: uncultured bacterium
Lineage: Bacteria
Description: partial 16S ribosomal RNA
Rfam family: Bacterial small subunit ribosomal RNA
Source: RNAcentral
CCUACGGUAGGCAGCAGUAGGGAAUCUUCCGCAAUGGAGGAAACCCUGACGGAGCAACGCCGCGUGAGUGAUGAAGGUUUUCGGAUUGUAAACUCCUGUUGUUAGAGAAGAUAAAGACGGUAUGUAACGGAUCGUCACCGGCUAACUCCGUACCAGCAGCCGAGGUAAUACGACGGGGGCAAGCGUGACUCGGAAUGACUGUGCGUAAAGGGCGCGGAGGCGGUAUGGCAAGUCAGAUGUGAAAGCCCAUGGCUUAACCAUAGAAGGUCAUUGGAAACUGUGAUUCUAGAGUACGGUAGAGGUAGGUGGAAUUCUUUGUGUAGCGGUAAAAUGCGUAGAGAUAAAGAGGAACACUCAUGGCGAAGGCGACCCUCUAGAAUAUAACUGACGCUGAUGCGCGAAAGCGUGGGGAGCAAACAGGAUUAGAUACCCGGGUAGUC